RNAcentral lists this small RNA (79 nucleotides) under Arabidopsis thaliana (thale cress). Its description in RNAcentral is "ATSL135390". Lineage: Eukaryota; Viridiplantae; Streptophyta; Magnoliopsida; Brassicales; Brassicaceae. The record is from RNAcentral.
AAUUUUAACUUCUAUUUUCGAUGAUUUUCCAUCUUGCCUGUUUCCGAGGCAGAAUAGUAUUUUUUCCAUGUAUGAGCUU